This 460-nucleotide ribosomal RNA is filed under the name uncultured bacterium. RNAcentral's name for it is "partial 16S ribosomal RNA". It matches the Rfam family "Bacterial small subunit ribosomal RNA", at positions 338 to 795 of the family's 1533-position model. The record is from RNAcentral.
CCUACGGGUGGCAGCAGUGAGGAAUAUUGGUCAAUGGACGAGAGUCUGAACCAGCCAAGUAGCGUGAAGGAUGACUGCCCUAUGGGUUGUAAACUUCUUUUAUAUGGGAAUAAAACGUUCCACGUGUGGGAUUUUGUAUGUACCAUAUGAAUAAGGAUCGGCUAACUCCGUGCCAGCAGCCGCGGUAAUACGGAGGAUCCGAGUGUUAUCCGGAUUUAUUGGGUUUAAAGGGAGCGUAGGUGGAUUGUUAAGUCAGUUGUGAAAGUUUGCGGCUCAACCGUAAAAUUGCAGUUGAAACUGGCAGUCUUGAGUACAGUAGAGGUGGGCGGAAUUCGUGGUGUAGCGGUGAAAUGCUUAGAUAUCACGAAGAACUCCGAUUGCGAAGGCAGUUCACUGGACUGCAACUGACACUGAGGCUCGAAAGUGUGGGUAUCAAACAGGAUUAGAUACCCUAGUAGUC